AACUCACUCCGGGAGCCGGGACUCACUCCCGGAAACUGCUUCCGGGAGGGCAGGAAACGGAGAGCUCGAGGGGGCGGGGCCUGGUGGAUGUGGGCGUGGCAGCCCCGCCCCACCCCCGGGCGUUUCCGGUCCGGAAGUGCCGCCGCCCGUGGGAGCGGAGUCUCCCGUCUCCCGCCGCGCCCGCGGGAGCGUGUUGGGCGUCCGCCCUCCUUCAGGUUAAACGUUGGAGCUGCUUUAAUGUAAAAGCUUGGAGUUGUGAGGCCACUUAUAUUGAAUGCGGAGAUCUUUCCUUCUCAAAACAUGGAAAAGAUUUAAGUCCAAAACCCUUUUGAGGAGCGUGUCCCGUGGGUCCUGUGACACCGUUAGGACAAGUGUGAGGGACGCCCUGCGCCUUGUGAGACGAGGAAGAGGGAGCUCGGCGUCUGUCUGUGCAGGCAGGACGAAGAAGCGCGGCUUGCUCACGGCGGGACAGAGCGCCUGCAAGUCCGAAGGCCUCAGAAUGAAGCCUGCCCUGCCAGCACCUCGGCCCUGGACGUCCCCGACUCCACGGCUGAGCCGCCUGGUCUGUGGUAUUUGGCUGUGGCAGCACGAACUAAGACAGAUUUCCAUAGUGAGUAAAGACCUCGGUCAUUCCACCAGGUGAGGAACCACGACCAGGUGCUGGCUGACGGGAAAGGAUCGUAGAGCCAACAGCGGAAGAGCAAAAUGGUGUCAGUUCAGCUCGGCAGCCUCCAAUCUUAUCUUCAAAGGAAAGGCAUUCGACUUCGCAGCGACCAUCCAUUCUCUGACAGUGUAGUUGUCUUUGAAAUCCUCCUCUGGCUAAGUGAAGAAAGCAGUCAGUCUUCAGUUAUCCAGUACUGAAUUACUGGAAGGCAAAAUUCCACCACUCAGGCCAAGCCAGAGCUCCACACUACUGAAUCUCAUGGCGACACAGAGUGAAAGUGGACAGCAGAAAAGCAGAUGUGACCUGAACAGCUGUGCCUGAGCUCGGAUCCCCGGUUCAGUAUAUACAGGGUGCUUCCUUUGUACUCAAGUAGAAAAACCAAGAAAGGGUUCCCUCUGCUAUAAUCUUUGUUGGACAUAGAGAAACAGUGUUUCUUCCUGGGGCGGGGGGAGACAAUAUCCUUUCUAAUUCCAAUAAGCAGUCUUUUGCAAUAAAAGAUUUUUUUCCUAUCU
Vicugna pacos (alpaca) is the source of this 1176-nucleotide non-coding RNA. The record is from RefSeq and is a predicted model, not a curated record. NCBI's taxonomy places the organism in Eukaryota, Metazoa, Chordata, Mammalia, Artiodactyla, Camelidae.